UACGGGGGGGGUAAGCGUUGUUCGGAAUUACUGGGCGUAAAGGGCUCGUAGGCGGCCAACUAAGUCGGACGUGAAAUCCCUCAGCUUAACUGGGGAACUGCGUCCGAUACUGGAUGGCUUGGGUUCGGGAGAGGGAUGCGGAAUUCCAGGUGUAGCGGUGAAAUGCGUAGAUAUCAGGAGGAACACCGGUGGCGAAGGCGGGUCUCUGGGCCGAUACUGACGCUGAGGAGCGAAAGCGUGGGGAGCGAACAGG
RNAcentral lists this ribosomal RNA (253 nucleotides) under uncultured bacterium. RNAcentral's name for it is "partial 16S ribosomal RNA". It matches the Rfam family "Bacterial small subunit ribosomal RNA", at positions 524 to 776 of the family's 1533-position model. The record is from RNAcentral.